Long non-coding RNA from Cyprinus carpio carpio, 1100 nucleotides. The record is from Ensembl. NCBI's taxonomy places the organism in Eukaryota, Metazoa, Chordata, Actinopteri, Cypriniformes, Cyprinidae.
UGAGGGUGAGUGGCUUUUAGGAUCUCCUGGGUGGUUAUUUAGGCAUUCUGGGUGGUUGCAAGUAUGUUCUGGUGGUUAAUAGUUUGUUCAUAGUAGUUGCUAGUAUGUUCUAGUUGGUUACUAGUUUGUUCUAAGUAGUUGUUCCUUUUAGGUGAUUGUUGGCUGUUCUGGGAGGUUAUUAGCUUGUUUUGGGUGGCGGUUGGCUGUUCUGGGUGUUUAUUUGUUGUUUUGGGUGGUUGUUGGCUGUUCUGGGUGGAUAUUCAUUGUUUUGGGUGGUUGUUGGCUGUUCUAGGUAAUUAUUAGAUGUUUUGGGUGGCUUUUGGCUGUUCUAUGUGGUUAUUAGAUGUUUUGGGUGGUUGUUAGCUGUUCUAUGUGGUUAUUAGUUGUUUUUGGUGGUUGUUGGUUGUUCUGUGUAGUUAUUAAUUUGGUGGUUAUUAGGUUGUUGAAGGUGGAUGUUUGGUUGUUUUAGGUUGUUGGCUGUUCUAGGUGGUUAUUAGGUUGUUGAAGGUGGUGUUAGGUUGUUGGCUGUUCAGGGUGGUUAUUAGGUUGUUUUGGGUGGUUGUUGGCUGUUCUGGGUGGUUAUUAGGUUAUUGUAGGUGGUUGUUAGGUUGUUUUGGGUGGUUGUUGGCUGUUCUGGGUGGUUAUUAGGUUAUUGUAGGUGGUUGUUAGGUUGUUUUGGGUGGUUGUUGGCUGUUCUGGGUGGUGAUUAGAUUGUUUUGGAUGAUUGUUGGCUGUUCCGGGUGGUUAUUAGGUUAUUGUAGGUGGUUGUUAGGUUGUUUUAGGUGGUUGUUGGAUGUUCUGGGUGAUUGGAUGCUCUGGGGGGUUACUAGGAUGCUUUGGGUAGUUACUAAUUUGUCCAUUAUAGUUAAGGUGUUCUAGGUGGUUGCUAUGUUGGUGGUUGUUAGGAUGCUGUGGGUGGUGGGUAGCAUGUUCUAGGUGGUUGUUUGGUUGUUUUAGGUGAUUGUUACCGUGUCCUUUGUGUUUACUAGUUUGUUCAUAGUAGCUGUUAGGUUGUUAAGAUUGCUACAUUGUUCUGGGUGGUUACUGAGUUGUUAGUAGUUGUUGGCAUGGUCUCCGUCACAAGUUUUCAAACUCUGGGU